UACGUAGGGGGCAAGCGUUGUCCGGAAUCAUUGGGCGUAAAGAGCGUGUAGGCGGCUCGAUAAGUCUGCUGUGAAAGUCCAGGGCUCAACCCUGGAAGGCCGGUGGAAACUGUCGGGCUAGAGUCCGGAAGAGGCGAGUGGAAUUCCCGGUGUAGCGGUGAAAUGCGUAGAGAUGCGGAGGAACACCGAUGGCGAAGGCAGCCCCCUGGGCUGACACUGACGCUCAGGCACGAAAGCGUGGGGAGCAAACAGG
This 253-nucleotide ribosomal RNA is filed under the name uncultured bacterium. RNAcentral describes it as "partial 16S ribosomal RNA". It matches the Rfam family "Bacterial small subunit ribosomal RNA", at positions 524 to 776 of the family's 1533-position model. The record is from RNAcentral.